UACGUAGGGGGCAAGCGUUGUCCGGAUUUACUGGGCGUAAAGAGCGUGUAGGCGGCCAAGCAGGUCCGUUGUGAAAACUGGAGGCUUAACCUCCAGACGUCGACGGAAACCGCGUGGCUAGAGUCCGGAAGAGGAGAGUGGAAUUCCUGGUGUAGCGGUGAAAUGCGCAGAUAUCAGGAGGAACACCUGCGGUGUAGACGGCUUACUGGACCAUAACUGACGCUGAGGCACGAAAGCGUGGGUAGCAAACAGG
This 253-nucleotide ribosomal RNA is filed under the name uncultured bacterium. RNAcentral's name for it is "partial 16S ribosomal RNA". It matches the Rfam family "Bacterial small subunit ribosomal RNA", at positions 524 to 776 of the family's 1533-position model. The record is from RNAcentral.